CACCACACGCCCAAGUGUUCGCCCUCCAAUGAUAAUCCACACAGGGCUUUGAUCGAGACACCAACUCCUUAAGUGAUGUCUCCUUCAAAAUUCUCACUCUGAGAACUUCUUUAGGUAGCAAAACCUUAGGGUCUCUUUCUUCUCCUCCUAGCCUUCCUAUCUCUACCUUUCUUGUCUCCUUGUCUUCCUUAUAUUUCUUCCUAGGCCCUUGUCCUAAAAUUGAAUUUGUCUUCACUAUUUUAGAACUUAUUCUAACAAGGGAAGGAAGAAAAUAAUUGGACAAGAGGAAGAGAUGUGUAAGAAAGAAGAGAUAAGAAUAGAAAUCUGAAUGACUCAGAACCCCGGUGCGCAUCCCC
Molecule: long non-coding RNA, 356 nt
Filed under: Elaeis guineensis (African oil palm)
Lineage: Eukaryota; Viridiplantae; Streptophyta; Magnoliopsida; Arecales; Arecaceae
Description: long non-coding RNA (EGUI_LNC067870)
Source: RNAcentral